Molecule: ribosomal RNA, 492 nt
Filed under: uncultured bacterium
Lineage: Bacteria
Description: partial 16S ribosomal RNA
Rfam family: Bacterial small subunit ribosomal RNA
Source: RNAcentral
AGUGAACGCUGGCGGUAGGCCUAACACAUGCAAGUCGAACGGCAGCACAGUAAGAGCUUGCUCUUACGGGUGGCGAGUGGCGGACGGGUGAGGAAUACAUCGGAAUCUACUUUUUCGUGGGGGAUAACGUAGGGAAACUUACGCUAAUACCGCAUACGACCUACGGGUGAAAGCAGGGGAUCUUCGGACCUUGCGCGAUUGAAUGAGACGAUGUCGGAUUAGCUAGUUGGCGGGGUAAAGGCCCACCAAGGCGACGAUCCGUAGCUGGUCUGAGAGGAUGAUCAGCCACACUGGAACUGAGACACGGUCCAGACUCCUACGGGAGGCAGCAGUGGGGAAUAUUGGACAAUGGGCGCAAGCCUGACCCAGCCAUACCGCGUGGGUGAAGAAGGCCUUCGGGUUGUAAAGCCCUUUUGUUGGGAAAGAAAAGCAGCAGGUGAAUACCCCGCUGUUCUGACGGUACCCAAAGAAUAAGCACCGGCUAACUUCGUG